This 297-nucleotide long non-coding RNA is filed under the name Bemisia tabaci. RNAcentral's name for it is "lncRNA ENSSSA1UGG011471". Lineage: Eukaryota; Metazoa; Arthropoda; Insecta; Hemiptera; Aleyrodidae. The record is from RNAcentral.
AUGCUGACACUAACUGAACUUACCAUUGUUUUUUGGAGCGGCACUAUCCGGACUUUCCACUUCACAAUUAUUCGGUUCUUGUUUGACACUCAACAAGACCAGCCAGGAAGUAAAGGACGACAGCGCUCAAAUGAGGAUCCAUUCUGCCGAAAAGUUGAAAAGAAAAAGUGUAGAAAACAAACUACUUCAAUCGAAAUUUAUGAAACUUGUCAAUUGAAAAGUGGCAUUGACACGAAAGUUACGUUUUUCGGGGAGUUAUGUUAUCAGUUAAAAAUCACAUCCGAUGUCGAGGUGUGA